RNAcentral lists this non-coding RNA (28 nucleotides) under Fusarium oxysporum. RNAcentral also lists the same sequence under 1 other name. The record is from RNAcentral. Lineage: Eukaryota; Fungi; Ascomycota; Sordariomycetes; Hypocreales; Nectriaceae.
UGACCUCGGAUCAGGUAGGAAUACCCGC